UGCCAGCCGCCGCGGUAAUACGGAGGGGGUUAGCGUUGUUCGGAAUUACUGGGCGUAAAGCGCACGUAGGCGGAUUAGUAAGUUAGGGGUGAAAUCCCGGGGCUCAACCCCGGAACUGCAUUCGAAACUGGCAAACUGGAGUGUCGGAGAGGGUGGUAGAAUUCCCGGUGUAGAGGUGAAAUUCGUAGAGAUCGGGAGGAAUACCGGUGGCGAAGGCGGCCACCUGGAAGAUAACUGACGCUGAGACGCGAAAGCGUGGGGAGCAAACAGGAUUAGAUA
Molecule: ribosomal RNA, 279 nt
Filed under: uncultured bacterium
Lineage: Bacteria
Description: partial 16S ribosomal RNA
Rfam family: Bacterial small subunit ribosomal RNA
Source: RNAcentral